UACAGGGGGGGCAAGCGUUGUUCGGAAUUCCUGGGCGUAAAGGGCUCGUAGGCGGUUUGUCGCGUCGGGAGUGAAAACACGGGGCUUAACCCCGUGCCUGCUUCCGAUACGGGCAGACUAGAGGUAUGCAGGGGAGAACGGAAUUCCUGGUGUAGCGGUGAAAUGCGCAGAUAUCAGGAGGAACACCGGUGGCGAAGGCGGUUCUCUGGGCAUUACCUGACGCUGAGGAGCGAAAGUGUGGGGAGCGAACAGG
Molecule: ribosomal RNA, 253 nt
Filed under: uncultured bacterium
Lineage: Bacteria
Description: partial 16S ribosomal RNA
Rfam family: Bacterial small subunit ribosomal RNA
Source: RNAcentral